AUGGGAACGCGAAGAACCUUACCUAGACUUGACAUCUCCUGAAUAGUGUAGAGAUACAUGAAGCCCUUCGGGGCAGGAAGACAGGUGGUGCAUGGUUGUCGUCAGCUCGUGUCGUGAGAUGUUGGGUUAAGUCCCGCAACGAGCGCAACCCUUAUUACUAGUCGCUACCAUUAAGUUGAGCACUCUAGUGAGACUGCCCGGGUUAACCGGGAGGAAGGCGGGGAUGACGUCAAAUCAUCAUGCCCCUUAUGUCUAGGGCAACACACGUGCUACAAUGGUGAGUACAGAUAGAUGCGAUACCGCAAGGUGGAGCCAAACUCUAAAACUCAUCCCAGUUCGGAUUGUAGGCUGCAACUCGCCUACAUGAAGUUGGAGUUGCUAGUAAUCGCGAAUCAGAAUGUCGCGGUGAAUACGUUCCCGGGUCUUGUACACACCG
Molecule: ribosomal RNA, 436 nt
Filed under: uncultured bacterium
Lineage: Bacteria
Description: bacterial SSU rRNA
Rfam family: Bacterial small subunit ribosomal RNA
Source: RNAcentral